Molecule: non-coding RNA, 636 nt
Organism: Poecilia reticulata (guppy)
Lineage: Eukaryota; Metazoa; Chordata; Actinopteri; Cyprinodontiformes; Poeciliidae
Source: RefSeq, a predicted model, not a curated record
UCGGUUCGCGCUCCCACCCCUCGAGUGGCCCGGCUGCGGUCACUUUCUUCGCAGGACUGCUGCACUAAUGUGAUCCAGAGCGAGGGAGGACGAUGACUGGGACCCAUCACCUCCCCUCCUGAAGACGUCCUGAAGUCCUCGUCCAACGCCCCGAAACUCCCACCUGGUCUUCCUCCCAAACCUGUCGGUUCUGUUUCCGCUUGGCCCUCAUCAGAAAGACAAAAGCUGGAAAAAACAAAAGGAUCUUGACCAUCCGAAACUCCCCCACCCCAAGAGAGAUGAGACAAAGUACCAGAAGAAACAAGCUGGUGGAAAAAGAAGCCCAGAGUUUCUCCUCUCGCAGCUUUUCAUCUUCUUCCUUUUGCACUUUGAAACGCCUUAUCUGCUCCCCUUCUUUUGAAUUAAUCAUCAAAAGUGAGUAAGUGUGAGUGCCGGCUUGAUUCAGAUGCACAAAGACGCGUCUCCUCAGAUAAAGAAAGUGAUUAGGUUUAAGGCACAAAGGGGAGACGUGGGGGCAGGAGGAUCGUUCCUUUUACACACAUCCAAUAACGCCAUUAAAUGCCGUCUUCUCAUAGACAACAUUUAACUGAUGAAUAAAUGUGAACGUAAUUUAUUAAAAAUGAAAGCAAACUGUAA